AGUGAACGCUGGCGGUAGGCCUAACACAUGCAAGUCGAACGGCAGCACAGUAAGAGCUUGCUCUUACGGGUGGCGAGUGGCGGACGGGUGAGGAAUACAUCGGAAUCUACUUUUUCGUGGGGGAUAACGUAGGGAAACUUACGCUAAUACCGCAUACGACCUACGGGUGAAAGCAGGGGAUCUUCGGACCUUGCGCGAUUGAAUGAGCCGAUGUCGGAUUAGCUAGUUGGCGGGGUAAAGGCCCACCAAGGCGACGAUCCGUAGCUGGUCUGAGAGGAUGAUCAGCCACACUGGAACUGAGACACGGUCCAGACUCCUACGGGAGGCAGCAGUGGGGAAUAUUGGACAAUGGGCGCAAGCCUGAUACAGCCAUACCGCGUGGGUGAAGAAGGCCUUCGGGUUGUAAAGCCCUUUUGUUGGGAAAGAAAAGCAGCAGGUUAAUACCCCGCUGUUCUGACGGUACCAAAAGAAUAAGCACCGGCUAACUUCGUG
This 492-nucleotide ribosomal RNA is filed under the name uncultured bacterium. RNAcentral's name for it is "partial 16S ribosomal RNA". It matches the Rfam family "Bacterial small subunit ribosomal RNA", at positions 29 to 507 of the family's 1533-position model. The record is from RNAcentral.